UGUGGCACAAUGUUUGAGUUCAAAACUUGCAACCUGUUGGUUGCAGGUUCAAAACUUGGAAACAGCCUCUCCCCUGAAGCAGAGGGUAAGGCUACAUACAUUUGCCCCUCCCAGACCCUGCAGUAGCGGGAGCCUUGUGCACUGGGAUGCUC
Telopea speciosissima is the source of this 152-nucleotide long non-coding RNA. RefSeq lists it as uncharacterized. The record is from RefSeq and is a predicted model, not a curated record. The transcript has 3 exons. Lineage: Eukaryota; Viridiplantae; Streptophyta; Magnoliopsida; Proteales; Proteaceae.